RNAcentral lists this ribosomal RNA (406 nucleotides) under uncultured bacterium. Its description in RNAcentral is "partial 16S ribosomal RNA". It matches the Rfam family "Bacterial small subunit ribosomal RNA", at positions 30 to 526 of the family's 1533-position model. The record is from RNAcentral.
AUUGAACGCUGGCGGCAGGCCUAACACAUGCAAGUCGAACGAGUGGCGAACGGGUGAGUAAUACGUGGGAACCUGCCCUCCUUUUUGGGAUAAGCCUUGGAAACGGGGUCUAAUACCGAAUAGAGGGGGAUGGGCUCGGGGCCUAUCAGCUUGUUGGGGGGGUAAUGGCUCACCUAGGCGACGAUCCCUAGCUGGUCUGAGAGGUUGAUCAGCCACACGGGGACUGAGAAACGGCCCAGACUCCUACGGGAGGCAGCAGUGGGGAAUAUUGCACAAUGGGCGCAAGCCUGAUGCAGCCAUGCCGCGUGUAUGAUGAAGGCUGUAGGGUUGUAAAGUAUUUUCAGUCGGGAGGCGGUACCGACAGAAGAAGCACCGGCUAACUCCGUGCCAGCAGCCGCGGUAAUUC